This is a long non-coding RNA of Xenopus tropicalis (tropical clawed frog), 1147 nucleotides long. RefSeq lists it as uncharacterized. The transcript is spliced from 3 exons. Lineage: Eukaryota; Metazoa; Chordata; Amphibia; Anura; Pipidae. The record is from RefSeq and is a predicted model, not a curated record.
AAUUGAAAUAUGCAAUCAAGUUUCUAUGUCAUGUAAUAUUACUAGUGAUCUCAAGGUAUCUAUGUCAUGUAAUAUUACCAGUGACCUCAAGGUAUGCAUUUCCACUCAGAAGCUCCAAGGCCUGUGUGUCUGAAUUCAAAAUUUACUGAUUUCUUGCACUGAUUGGAAAAGCUCCUCACUGCUUUAAAAUCACAUGCAAAUGUAGCAGUUGGAUCAGAAGCUGAUAUACAGGUAUAUAAUACAUUUAAUAAGUGCCUUAUUUAUUAUUAUUCUGUUUUUAUAUAACGCUAACAUAUUCCACAGUGGUUUACAGAGAUAGUUGAUCAUCCACAUUAUUCUGUGCUUAAGGGGCGUUAACAAGCUAAGGUCCCUGUCACAUACACACAAAACUAUGAUCAAUUUUAAAAAAGUUAACACAGGGGAUCUAUAUAUCUGAAUACAUACACAUCCACAGGAAAUUGCGAGAGUUUACAGAUUGAUGUUUCCUGCAUGUAUGUUUUAUAAACAGAAGUAUGUCCAGAUGUUAAAGCAGUGAUGAUACUAUGUAAUUAAAGGAAGCUUUCAGAUGAAUGUGACUUAAAGGAGGGGGAGGUAUGGGUGGGCUUUCAGUGUACAUCAAACAUUCCUGAUCCUCUUAGGAGUAAAGAACUCUUUUCCUCAGUCACGAGAUUCAAACAGGCAUGAAGAGACAGUGCAGAGGUAAAACCUUGCCAGAGGGCUGGGUUGUAAAAUAGUAGGAUUCCAGUUUCUGAUCCCUGUCACCCUGUACUAUAAUAUAUUAUGGUACUCUGUACAUAUAUUGUAUUACAGGUAUGGAACCUGUUAUGCAGAAUUCUCAGGACCUGGGGUUUUCCGGAUAAUGAGUCUUUCCGUAGUUUGGAUCAACAUACUUUAUGGCUUAACAUCCAGAUGGAGUGACAGGAGUUGACAGAGGGUCCUGUUCAAAUCAAGCACAGACUGACUGGAAGCAGGACAGGUGGACGCCUUCAGGUGAUAUGUGGGGACAGAUUGAUUGAAUUAUUCCACCCUGGGAGAUUAAUGUGUUACCUCAGCAACCUGUUCACAUUCUUGUAACCCAAUCAUAUUGCUCCAUACUGUAUGUUUAAUAUGCACCAGAAAUCAUAAAUAAAUAUCUGAAAAAUGCAAA